UACGAAGGGGGGCUAGCGUUGCUCGGAAUCACUGGGCGUAAAGGGUGCGUAGGCGGGUCUUUAAGUCAGGGGGUGAAAUCCUGGAGCUCAACUCCAGAACUGCCUUUGAUACUGAGGAUCUUGAGUAUGGGAGAGGUGAGUGGAACUGCGAGUGUAGAGGUGAAAUUCGUAGAUAUUCGCAAGAACACCAGUGGCGAAGGCGGCUCACUGGCCCGAUACUGACGCUGAGGCACGAAAGCGUGGGGAGCAAACAGGG
This 256-nucleotide ribosomal RNA is filed under the name uncultured bacterium. RNAcentral describes it as "partial 16S ribosomal RNA". It matches the Rfam family "Bacterial small subunit ribosomal RNA", at positions 524 to 777 of the family's 1533-position model. The record is from RNAcentral.